UCGGGCGUUUUCGACGGCUAGCUUCACCGACGCUCGCAAGCCGUUCGACGAAAUAGCACAACCGACAACCUUGAUUGCUCCGCGUUCAUGAAAAGCGUCAUCUUUGAGGCCGCCGACUGUGUUGUUGUGUUGUUGAUAUGAGAAUGCAGGUUGUAUUUUAUAGGCCGUGUGUUGUGUUGCCGGCCGUCGUGAACUAGUACGAAACUCAGUGGAGGACAAGGGAUGACCAAAGAUGUGGUCGUGUGUUAGACGCCUGACCGACACAAACACAAAUUCAAACGGAUGUGGUUUCAUUUUCAUUCUCAAAGGGAC
This 312-nucleotide long non-coding RNA is filed under the name Hordeum vulgare. RNAcentral describes it as "long non-coding RNA (HVUL_LNC011762)". The record is from RNAcentral. Lineage: Eukaryota; Viridiplantae; Streptophyta; Magnoliopsida; Poales; Poaceae.